AGUGAACGCUGGCGGUAGGCCUAACACAUGCAAGUCGAACGGCAGCACAGUAAGAGCUUGCUCUUACGGGUGGCGAGUGGCGGACGGGUGAGGAAUACAUCGGAAUCUACUUUUUCGUGGGGGAUAACGUAGGGAAACUUACGCUAAUACCGCAUACGACCUACGGGUGAAAGCAGGGGAUCUUCGGACCUUGCGCGAUUGAAUGAGCCGAUGUCGGAUUAGCUAGUUGGCGGGGUAAAGGCCCACCAAGGCGACGAUCCGUAGCUGGUCUGAGAGGAUGAUCAGCCACACUGGAACUGAGACACGGUCCAGACACUGACGGGAGGCAGAAGUGGGGAAUAUUGGAAAAUGGGCGCAAGCCUGAUCCAGCCAUACAGCGUGGGUGAAGAAGGCCUGCGGGUUGUAAAGCCCUUUUGUUGGGAAAGAAAAGCAGCAGGUUAAUACCCCGCUGUUCUGACGGGACCCAAAGAAGAAGCACCGGCUAACUUCGU
Molecule: ribosomal RNA, 491 nt
Filed under: uncultured bacterium
Lineage: Bacteria
Description: partial 16S ribosomal RNA
Rfam family: Bacterial small subunit ribosomal RNA
Source: RNAcentral